RNAcentral lists this small RNA (643 nucleotides) under Histoplasma capsulatum. Its description in RNAcentral is "hypothetical RNA". RNAcentral also lists the same sequence under 1 other name. Lineage: Eukaryota; Fungi; Ascomycota; Eurotiomycetes; Onygenales; Ajellomycetaceae. The record is from RNAcentral.
UGACUAUCUUUGUUAUUAAUCUCAAUCUUCUCUGAAUUCCUUAUUUAUUAUAUUCACUUUUAGUAAUAAUAUCUCUUAAUGUAUGAACAGUAAUAUUAAAUUUAAGCUCUUGAAAAAUAUCAACAUACAAAGCAAAGGGAUUUUACUGAAUAUCUGAGAGGAUCUUGAAAUGCUCGAAGUGGGCUUUAGUGGUGGAAUCACCACUGAUCAACAACUGAUUUAGAGCUUAAUUAUCCACGAUGUGAUUAUCCAUAGAAGAGAACGGGUUCCAUGGAACGCGAGAUUGAAAAACACAACGGACUUCUACCGAGGUAAUAUGUAGGAAAGCUGGGGAAUAUGUUAGACAAGCAAACAGGACCGUAACAGGAAAAAUAUCCAGCAUCCCCGAUUGUAUGCGGCCUCGGAAGGCGUACCAGUAUAGGGUGGUUCGAUUUAUGCUUUACGUGCGUUAUUGAGAGCUUUGUUCGACGAUGCAGCACCACAGACAGAUAUCGGAGUCACUUUAUCCGGAUGGGGAGAGCCUAAUGGCUUAUGAAGAGGAGCGAGAAGAUAAAAAUUCAAAAGCCAUUAUCUGUUUCUAGCCUAGUUAGAAGUUAUGACAAAUAUGGUAGGAAUAAUAGCCUCUGAAGAGGAGAGUUUGGGG